UACGUAGGGGGCAAGCGUUGUCCGGAAUCAUUGGGCGUAAAGAGCGCGUAGGCGGUCCAGUAAGUCCGCUCUGAAAGUCCGGGGCUCAACCCCGGGAGGCGGGCGGAUACUGCUGGGCUAGAGUCCGGAAGAGGCGAGUGGAAUUCCUGGUGUAGCGGUGAAAUGCGCAGAUAUCAGGAGGAACACCAAUGGCGAAGGCAGCUCGCUGGGACGGUACUGACGCUGAGGCGCGAAAGCUAGGGGAGCAAACGGG
RNAcentral lists this ribosomal RNA (253 nucleotides) under uncultured bacterium. RNAcentral's name for it is "partial 16S ribosomal RNA". It matches the Rfam family "Bacterial small subunit ribosomal RNA", at positions 524 to 776 of the family's 1533-position model. The record is from RNAcentral.